UUAUCGGUUAAAGAUGGGCAUGCGUCUGAUUAGCUUGUUGGUAAGGUAACGGCUUACCAAGGCAACGAUCAGUAGGGGGUCUGAGAGGAUGAUCCCCCACACUGGUACUGAG
This 112-nucleotide ribosomal RNA is filed under the name uncultured bacterium. RNAcentral describes it as "partial 16S ribosomal RNA". It matches the Rfam family "Bacterial small subunit ribosomal RNA", at positions 212 to 323 of the family's 1533-position model. The record is from RNAcentral.